CUGUAAACUCCUUCAUGACUGGGUUAGGGGCAGGAUUGUUCUUUGAUACCAUUUAAUUAUAGUCUAAAAAUGAAGCCAGGCUUCAUACCCACAGGCUUGGGUCCCAACCUGGUUCCAACACUUAGCUAUCUGGCUUAGGGUCCUGGUUCCAACACUUAGCUAUCGGGCUUAGGGUCCUCUGAGAGCUCAGACUCAGUUCCUAGGCUGUAAAAGGCACCAGAAAUACAACAGGGCAAAGAUCACAAGACCUAAAAUGCUGGGAAGGAGUUGGUACGUGGUGAGCAUGGAACACUUUGUCCUCCUUCCCUGAAUAGCUGAGACCUUCCAUGAAUUAGAGAACCAAGUCUUCACUGAUUAGUGCUCGCUCUGGGGUACUUGACAAGAGAAAGGAGACACUGAAUAAUUACAUAGCGCAGUGGAUAAAGGUGCCGCCAAGCCUGACAUGAGUUGGGGUCUCACAAGGUAGAAGACGAGAACCAACUCCCACAAAUUGCCUGCCCUCAUAUCUCCAGAUGCACGUUAUAGCACAUGAGCCCCAGCCCCCUACAGUAAAUUUAAUAAAAAGGCAUUACAUCUAUCCCAGGAUCAUAUCCUGGGUGCAUGGCCACUCCACCCGGCUUAGUGACAACCUGUGAACCGCAGACUUGGUGAGAGAAAAACAGUCCCUAAGAAUGGCGCCAAGCAUAAAUAUCUGUUGAAUCAAAAAUCAAGCGAGUCAAUAAAAAAGCAAAGACAGAAACGUCCCACCCCGCCGAGCCCCCAGCCCAGCCGCACCCUGUCCUGGAGCCCUAUUAAGCCAUAGUCCCCAAAGUCCGCUUGUCUACAGCCCCGCCUCCGAUUGCCUUGGAAACAGUGACGUUAAUCGAGGGGGUGUGGCCUCUCUCCAUCCUCUCAAACGUUGUGAGCCGCGCCUUAGCACAACCUGGAGGGGAAGAUGAGGUUAAGGUUGCUGGGUACUCCCCCGUUCCUUAGGCCGGAGAUAGCUAAGCACACCGGUCUGCGCCCACGAGAGAGCCCACCUUGCGCUUGCCCUUGGCAAUUUAGCGUAAGAUCGCGAGAGUGCGGGCCUGGGUCCCCGGGAACCGCCCCUGGCGAUUUAGGGGGCUUCUGGAGACUGCAGGCUUGGGUCCUCGGAAGACCACCAUACUCUCCACCCUCGACGUUGUCCUGGUGGGCGCAGUCCUGCGCCUACCCGGGCACCCCAGACUCGCUGCGCGCCCUAGGCGCGGGCGGGAAGGGGUUAAGCAAGGUGCUGGCUCGGGGCGCGGCUCACGGCGCGUGUGGAGGAGGGGAGCGGGGAAGAAAGUGAGAGCGGGGGCGGGGGACCCGAGCGAAAGAACAUCCUGUGCCGCCGCCGGAUGCGAGAGGCGGGGGCGCGGGGGAAGCUGGGCGAUGCGCUCCGCCCCGCGCUCCUCCUCCCGGGCGCUGCCCGCUCCCGCGCUUCGUACUGCUUCUUCUGGUCCCCACGCCUUCGCGGGUCAUGAGCUUGCCAGAGGGGCCCCUCAGCUCGAGUUCCCCGGCAGGGGUUCAGCCUCCACAGGCAGCUCCACGCGGCGGAUCUCCAUCCACGUCCCUUUCCACGGUGGACAAUGUCAGCUAAACUGACCUGCAAGGAAGCCCUGGAUGAUACCAACCCCAGAAGUUGAAAA
Molecule: long non-coding RNA, 1649 nt
Organism: Mus musculus (house mouse)
Lineage: Eukaryota; Metazoa; Chordata; Mammalia; Rodentia; Muridae
Product: RIKEN cDNA E230001N04 gene
Exons: 2
Source: RefSeq, a predicted model, not a curated record